CCUACGGGCGGCUGCAGUGGGGAAUUUUCCGCAAUGGGCGAAAGCCUGACGGAGCAAUACCGCGUGAGGGACGAAGGCCUGUGGGUUGUAAACCUCUUUUCUCAGGGAAGAAGAUCUGACGGUACCUGAGGAAUCAGCAUCGGCUAACUCCGUGCCAGCAGCCGCGGUAAGACGGAGGAUGCAAGCGUUAUCCGGAAUUAUUGGGCGUAAAGCGUCCGCAGGCGGUUUCGUAAGUCUGUCUUUAAAGAGUGGAGCUUAACUCCAUAAAGGGGAUGGAAACUGCGAGACUAGAGGUAGGUAGGGGUAGAAGGAAUUCCCAGUGUAGCGGUGAAAUGCGUAGAUAUUGGGAAGAACACCAGCAGCGAAGGCGUUCUACUGGACCAAACCUGACGCUCAUGGACGAAAGCUAGGGGAGCGAAAGGGAUUAGAUACCCAAGUAGUC
This 442-nucleotide ribosomal RNA is filed under the name uncultured bacterium. Its description in RNAcentral is "bacterial SSU rRNA". It matches the Rfam family "Bacterial small subunit ribosomal RNA", at positions 338 to 795 of the family's 1533-position model. The record is from RNAcentral.